GGGGAAUAUUGGACAAUGGGGGAAACCCUGAUCCAUCGAUGCCGCGUGAGUGAAGAAGGCCUUUGGGUUGUAAAGCUCUUUUACCUGUGAAGAUGAUGACGGUAACAGGAGAAAAAGCACCGGCUAACUCUGUGCCAGCAGCCGCGGUAAGACAGAGGGUGCUAGCGUUGUUCGGAAUGACUGGGCGUAAAGGAUGCGUAGGCGGCUAUAUUAGUCGAGCGUGAAAGCCCCGGGCUCAACCUGGGAACUGCGUUCGAUACUGUAUAGCUUGAGGCCGGGAGAGGAAAGCGGAAUUUCUAGUGUAGAGGUGAAAUUCGUAGAUAUUAGAAGGAACAUCAGAGGCGAAGGCGGCUUUCUGGACCGGUACUGACGCUGAGGCAUGAAAGCGUGGGGAGCAAAC
This 400-nucleotide ribosomal RNA is filed under the name uncultured bacterium. RNAcentral describes it as "bacterial SSU rRNA". It matches the Rfam family "Bacterial small subunit ribosomal RNA", at positions 356 to 773 of the family's 1533-position model. The record is from RNAcentral.